Leopardus geoffroyi (Geoffroy's cat) is the source of this 126-nucleotide long non-coding RNA. RefSeq lists it as uncharacterized. The record is from RefSeq and is a predicted model, not a curated record. NCBI's taxonomy places the organism in Eukaryota, Metazoa, Chordata, Mammalia, Carnivora, Felidae. The transcript has 6 exons.
UCUUACACGCAAGCACAUGUUUCUAAUGUUGUCUGUCUUCUGUGCUGUUCCUGUAAGUUUGCUAUUAAAAUAUAUCCCACUAUAAAAAAUAAAGAUCGGAAGAGCGUCGUGUAGGGAAAGAGGGUG